This 774-nucleotide ribosomal RNA is filed under the name Triticum aestivum (bread wheat). RNAcentral describes it as "partial small subunit ribosomal RNA". The record is from RNAcentral. Lineage: Eukaryota; Viridiplantae; Streptophyta; Magnoliopsida; Poales; Poaceae.
AUGUUGCCAAGCCUCAAAAAGGCCAAGUGGAAAUCAGUGCCCCUCGCGGUUGGUGACAACCUGUUGGUCAUGGAGGCGAUCCCUAAGAACGAUCAAAAGAUGGAACAUCAAUCUUUCGAGGCGCUUAUGUAUGGCGAAAGGCCUAAAAUGUUCAAGGGGGUGGACUUUUUCUGGCACUCCAUCCCCCCGCCGCCUUAUGUCUAUGCCCCUGGCUAUGGUGUCGACCGUUCUGGUGUGAUCACCGCGUGCACUGUGGUCAAUGGCUCAAGCAUCUUGAUAUCCACAGAGAGCCUCGGCACCUACUGCUUGGACACGGUGAGCGGUAAGUGGAGCAAGACUGGUGCCUGGCCGCUGCCGUUUAAAGGACUUGCAGAAUAUGUUCCGGAGUACGAUCUCUGGUUUGGUGUCUCGGCAAAGGGUGGUGGCGUCCUCUGCGCAUCAGACCUGGGUGCUGCCUCGGCAAAGCAGACGCCGCCGGUGGUACUCCAAGAGUGGGAGGGAUUUGCUGCCCCUGAGGGUACCGAGCUAGGAUCGCACCUCCUGCACCUAGGUGCCGGUCGUUUCUGUGUCGCCAAGUCGAUCAUGACAACAAGGCCGCAGGAGACGUGCUGCCAGAUGUGCUGUUUCCAUGACACUACUGCCAUUGUCGACAAGUUAGUGAUGUUUACUGGCGUGGAGAUUCAGCGCUGUGGCAGAGGGCUUAAUAAGGUGAUCAAGCACAGAUCGUUUCGUUAUAGUAUGGGCGCAUGCAGCAUGGCCAAGAUACUUUAUUAG